RNAcentral lists this ribosomal RNA (460 nucleotides) under uncultured bacterium. RNAcentral describes it as "partial 16S ribosomal RNA". It matches the Rfam family "Bacterial small subunit ribosomal RNA", at positions 338 to 795 of the family's 1533-position model. The record is from RNAcentral.
CCUACGGGAGGCAGCAGUGAGGAAUAUUGGUCAAUGGACGAGAGUCUGAACCAGCCAAGUCGCGUGAAGGACGACUGUGCCAUGGGUUGUAAACUUCUUUUAUAAAGGAACAAAACGAGGCUCGUGAGCCUUUUCGCAUGUACUUUAUGAAUAAGGAUCGGCUAACUCCGUGCCAGCAGCCGCGGUAAUACGGAGGAUCCGAGCGUUAUCCGGCUUUAUUGGGUUUAAAGGGGGCGUAGAUGGGAUGUUAAGUCAGUGGUGAAAGCGUGGGGCUGAACCGUAAAAGUGCAGUUGAUACUGGCAGUCUUGAGUACAGUUGAGGUAUGCGGAAUUCGUGGUGUAGCGGUGAAAUGCUUAGAUAUCACGAAGAACCCCGAUUGCGAAGGCAGCUUACUGGACUGUGACUGACGUUGAUGCACGAAAGUGUGGGUAUCAAACAGGAUUAGAUACCCGAGUAGUC